RNAcentral lists this ribosomal RNA (453 nucleotides) under uncultured bacterium. Its description in RNAcentral is "bacterial SSU rRNA". It matches the Rfam family "Bacterial small subunit ribosomal RNA", at positions 96 to 562 of the family's 1533-position model. The record is from RNAcentral.
UGGCGGACGGGUGAGUAACACGUGAGUAACCUGCCUUUCAGAGGGGGAUAACGGCUGGAAACGGUCGCUAAUACCGCAUAAUAUAUUCGAUAGGCAUCUAUUGAAUAUCAAAGGAGCAAUCCGCUGAAAGAUGGACUCGCGUCUGAUUAGAUAGUUGGUGGGGUAAUGGCCUACCAAGUCGACGAUCAGUAGCCGGACUGAGAGGUUGAACGGCCACAUUGGGACUGAGAUACGGCCCAGACUCCUACGGGAGGCAGCAGUGGGGAAUAUUGCACAAUGGGGGAAACCCUGAUGCAGCAACGCCGCGUGAAGGAAGACGGUUUUCGGAUUGUAAACUUCUGUUCUUAGUGAAGAAAAAAAUGACGGUAACUAAGCAGCAAGCUCCGGCUAACUACGUGCCAGCAGCCGCGGUAAUACGUAGGGAGCGAGCGUUAUCCGGAUUUACUGGGUGUA